RNAcentral lists this ribosomal RNA (468 nucleotides) under uncultured bacterium. Its description in RNAcentral is "partial 16S ribosomal RNA". It matches the Rfam family "Bacterial small subunit ribosomal RNA", at positions 28 to 507 of the family's 1533-position model. The record is from RNAcentral.
GACGAACGCUGGCGGCGUGCUUAACACAUGCAAGUCGAACGGAAAGGCCCUGCUUUUGUGGGGUGCUCGAGUGGCGAACCGGUGAGUAACACGUGAGUAACCUGCCCUUGACUUUGGGAUAACUUCAGGAAACUGGGGCUAAUACCGGAUAGGAGCUCCUGCUGCAUGGUGGGGGUUGGAAAGUUUCGGCGGUUGGGGAUGGACUCGCGGCUUAUCAGCUUGUUGGUGGGGUAGUGGCUUACCAAGGCUUUGACGGGUAGCCUGCCUGAGAGGGUGACCGGCCACAUUGGGACUGAGAUACGGCCCAGACUCCUACGGGAGGCAGCAGUGGGGAAUAUUGCACAAUGGGCGGAAGCCUGAUGCAGCAACGCCGCGUGCGGGAUGACGGCCUUCGGGUUGUAAACCGCUUUCGCCUGUGACGAAGCGUGAGUGACGGUAAUGGGUAAAGAAGCACCGGCUAACUACGUG